UCUUCGCAAGCCUCGUACGCUCAUACCCACUGUUUUAGGGAACAACCCGCAUGGCUUCGACCGGAACGAGCCUGACGAGAAAGACGUCGCUUCCAAAAGUUAAUCGGCUGAUCGCGAAAUUGUGCAAAAUUACCUGGGAAAAAAUCCGGAGGCCAAAACCUUAUCGGGAGUGUUGAAGCAAGUAAUCAACAACAUUGACUCGUAGACCAAACACCCGCGGCAUCAUCUCCUCCGUAGCUCCAAUCACCAGCUCCAUCGCCGUCUCCUGUCUUUAGGAAGAUUUGUUUUGCCGGAACUAAUCGUUGGCACUGCUGUCGACCAUAAAAGCGAAGGUCCGAUAACUAAAUACCCUCCCCUUCGGUGAAAAAUUUACGAAAACUGGGUUACCUGAUGAACAAACCCAAUUCAACCCCACCCGUAGAAUUUCUCGAAUGGGUCCCAAGUUGAGGGUGAUCACAAAUAAAAGCUUCAGCGUCCAAGAGUCUUUUUGUACAGCACCUACAAGGCUGGAAGUCUUGCUGGAAAAAGCACUGCGCUGACUUUCGAGUACCAGAAACAUAGGUGGCACUUUCAGAUGGUAAAUCCAAUCCGGACGAACUGUGACGAAGCUUAAUGAGAUGCAAAAGGAUUUGUCAAAAGCAGCUAAGCCCAGCACGCGAUGGGAGAUGAUGACCGAAUUUUCCAUCAUUAGGAACAUUAGUAACAAUGCUGGUGUGAAGGACAUCACGAAUGAGAUGUUUGCAGGUAACUAACCGGUCAUUUGUCAAUUGGUGCAGGUGAUUCAGGUAAGCAAAUGGGAAUUAGGAAAGUUUAGCAGUUAGAUAUAAACAAAAACAUUCAGUAAUUUUCCAAAAGAUACUCCAUAAAUCAAUUUACGAAGCACCAUAAAAAUUAAAACAGAAGCUUUCUUGGUCAGAACAA
Long non-coding RNA from Uranotaenia lowii, 921 nucleotides. RefSeq lists it as uncharacterized. The transcript is spliced from 3 exons. The record is from RefSeq and is a predicted model, not a curated record. NCBI's taxonomy places the organism in Eukaryota, Metazoa, Arthropoda, Insecta, Diptera, Culicidae.